Molecule: small nuclear RNA, 104 nt
Organism: Cervus hanglu yarkandensis (Yarkand deer)
Lineage: Eukaryota; Metazoa; Chordata; Mammalia; Artiodactyla; Cervidae
Source: Ensembl
GUGCUCACUUCAGUAGCACAUAUACUAAAAUUGGAAUAAUACAGAGAUUAGCAUAGCCUCUGUGCAAACAAGACAUGCAAAUUUGUAAAGUGUUCCACAUUUUG